This 313-nucleotide long non-coding RNA is filed under the name Heterocephalus glaber (naked mole-rat). Its description in RNAcentral is "lncRNA (ENSHGLG00100034880.1)". Lineage: Eukaryota; Metazoa; Chordata; Mammalia; Rodentia; Bathyergidae. The record is from RNAcentral.
CUCCGCCCGGCCCAGCGGGGCGACAGCCGGGCGUGUGGAGCUCGCGGAGAGCCGUCCCGGCUGCGGGCGCGGCGGGGCUGGGGCGCGUUCCGGGGCGCCCGGGAGCAGCGCCUCGCCUGGGCUCCGGAAGCCGCGGGGCUCCAGUUCCAGAUGCAGAAGCCAUGGAGUUGAGCUGCAGCAAAGUCCCUCUUUACGGAUCAAACUCAGGUCCUUGUGCUUGCGCAGCAAGUGGCGAAACCACUGAGGUAAAUUCCCGGCCCGUAAGUUCUUAUUUUUUUCCCCAUUACCUGUGCGCCCCUCACCCCCUCCACCC